Molecule: ribosomal RNA, 460 nt
Filed under: uncultured bacterium
Lineage: Bacteria
Description: partial 16S ribosomal RNA
Rfam family: Bacterial small subunit ribosomal RNA
Source: RNAcentral
CCUACGGGCGGCAGCAGUGAGGAAUAUUGGUCAAUGGACGAGAGUCUGAACCAGCCAAGUAGCGUGAAGGAUGACUGCCCUAUGGGUUGUAAACUUCUUUUAUAUGGGAAUAAAAUGUUCCACGUGUGGGAUUUUGUAUGUACCAUAUGAAUAAGGAUCGGCUAACUCCGUGCCAGCAGCCGCGGUAAUACGGAGGAUCCGAGCGUUAUCCGGAUUUAUUGGGUUUAAAGGGAGCGUAGGUGGAUUGUUAAGUCAGUUGUGAAAGUUUGCGGCUCAACCGUAAAAUUGCAGUUGAAACUGGAAGUCUUGAGUACAGUAGAGGUGGGCGGAAUUCGUGGGGUAGCGGUGAAAUGCUUAGAUAUCACGAAGAACUCUGAUUGCGAAGGCAGCUCACUGGACUGCAACUGACACUGAGGCUCGAAAGGGUGGGUAUAAAACAGGAUGAGAUACCCCAGUAGUC